Molecule: ribosomal RNA, 444 nt
Filed under: uncultured Acidobacteriota bacterium
Lineage: Bacteria; Pseudomonadati; Acidobacteriota
Description: bacterial SSU rRNA
Rfam family: Bacterial small subunit ribosomal RNA
Source: RNAcentral
GAAUAACCGAGGGAAACUUCGGCUAAUACCGCAUAAGCCUGAGAAGGGAAAGCAGAAAUGCGUCGAAACCGUGAGCCCGCGGCCGAUUAGCUAGUUGGUGAGGUAAGAGCCCACCAAGGCAGAGAUCGGUAGCCGGCCUGAGAGGGCACACGGCCACACUGGCACUGAAACACGGGCCAGACUCCUACGGGAGGCAGCAGUGGGGAAUCUUGCACAAUGGGGGAAACCCUGAUGCAGCGACGCCGCGUGAGCGAUGAAGCCCUUCGGGGUGUAAAGCUCUUUCGUCAGGGAAGGUUGUUUUUUUACCUGGAGAAGCAGCUGCGGCUAACUACGUGCCAGCAGCCGCGGUAAUACGUAGGCAGCAAGCGUUGUUCGGAGUUACUGGGCGUAAAGGGUGUGUAGGCGGUUCUUUAAGUUUGCUGUGAAAUCUCCCGGCUUAACCGG